AUUACUGAUUUUGGGCACUCCAAGAUUUUGGGAGAGACCUCUCUCAUGAGAACUUUAUGUGGAACCCCCACCUGCUUGGCUCCUGAAGUUCUUGUUUCUGUUGGGACUGCUGGGUAUAACCGUGCUGUGGACUGCUGGAGUUUAGGAGUUAUUCUUUUUAUCUGCACAGGACUCAAGUGUCACUGAAGGACCAGAUCACCAGUGGAAAACACAACUUCAUUCCUAAAGUCUGGGCAGAAGUCUCAGAGAAAGCUCUGGACCUUGUCAAGAAGUUGUUGGUAGUGGAUCCAAAGGCAUGUUUUACAACAGAAGAAGCCUUAAGACACUGUGGCUUCAGGAUGAAGACAUGAAGAGAAAGUUUCAAGAUCUUCUGUGUGAGGAAAAUGAAUCCACAGCUCUACUCCAGGUUCUAGCCCAGGCACAAAGGUUGUCUUCCCGCAAAAGACCAAGACUUGGGCCUUCUACUAGUCGAAAGUGGCCUCAUGAAGGGGAAGCCGAGGGUGCCGAGACCACAAAGCGCCCGGCUGUGUGUGCUGCUGUGUUGUGAACUCCAUGGUUUGAACAUGAAAGAAAUGUACCUUCUUUCACUCUGUCAUCUUUCUUUUCUUUGAGUCUGUUUUUUAUAGUGUGUAUUUUAAUUAUGGAAAUAAUUGCUUUUUCACAGUCACUGAU
RNAcentral lists this long non-coding RNA (672 nucleotides) under Homo sapiens (human). RNAcentral's name for it is "non-protein coding lnc-LINC02203-22:5". The record is from RNAcentral. Lineage: Eukaryota; Metazoa; Chordata; Mammalia; Primates; Hominidae.